Molecule: ribosomal RNA, 478 nt
Filed under: uncultured bacterium
Lineage: Bacteria
Description: partial 16S ribosomal RNA
Rfam family: Bacterial small subunit ribosomal RNA
Source: RNAcentral
GAUGAACGCUAGCGGCAGGCCUAACACAUGCAAGUCGAGGGAGAAGCCCUUUCGGGGGCAGAAACCGGCGCACGGGUGCGUAACGCGUAUGCAACCUACCUUUCACAGGGGGAUAGCCCGAAGAAAUUUGGAUUAAUACCCCAUAAUAUUAUUGGAUGGCAUCAUUUGAUAAUUAAAACUGCGGUGGUGAAAGAUGGGCAUGCGUCCUAUUAGCUAGUUGGAGUGGUAACGGCACCCCAAGGCUACGAUAGGUAGGGGUCCUGAGAGGGAGAUCCCCCACACUGGUACUGAGACAGGGACCAGACUCCUACGGGAGGCAGCAGUGAGGAAUAUUGGUCAAGGGUCGGAAGACUGAACCAGCCAUGCCGCGUGCAGGAAGAAUGCCUUAUGGGUUGUAAACUGCUUUUAUAUGGGAAGAAUAAGGCGUACGUGUACGUUGAUGACGGUACCAUAUGAAUAAGCAUCGGCUAACUCCGUG